UCCAUAAGUGAAUUGCCUUCUUACUCAUACGAGUUCUUUGAAUCAGAGAGAGAAAGAAAAAGAAUACCACACUUGCAACAGUUGGAUAAAAAAUUGUCACCCAUAUCUUCUCCAAACUUGACAGAGGAGUUGGUGGAUGAAGGCACUGAACCUGGUUGCUUGGACCAACAACAUGCGCUUGGAGAAGCAAUCGUAACAACUGAAAAUGCUCAAACGACUAUCAUACCACAUAGUAUUAAGGACGAAGGAAAGAAAGGCAUCCAAGACGAGCCAGAAUCGAAUGAAGAUAAAAUAAAAACUUUGUCAACUGAGUCUAUUGACAAUGUUUCUGAUGAUAAUGUUGGGGCUCUUCCAGAAUUAGGAGCAUAUAAGCGCCUUGUUGAUCUUGAUGAUGCACAAUUUGCUUUGCUGGCGGAGGGAAUAGCAGUGUAUCCUAAUCUUUGGAAUGUCCGUGAACAGAUUAGUGAGCGCUUGAAAGCUUUGAAGUUGAAAACUUUAGUGGAUAUACUGGCAUUCCUCAGAAACGAGAGUGCAGUUAGCGUUACUCCUCAGAAGGAAAAGGAGUUCCAUAUACUAUG
Molecule: long non-coding RNA, 578 nt
Organism: Abrus precatorius (Indian licorice)
Lineage: Eukaryota; Viridiplantae; Streptophyta; Magnoliopsida; Fabales; Fabaceae
Exons: 4
Source: RefSeq, a predicted model, not a curated record